AACGAACGCUGGCGGCAUGCCUAACACAUGCAAGUCGAACGGGAUCCUGACUUCGGUUGGGUGAGAGUGGCGGACGGGUGAGUAACGCGUGGGAGCCUGCCCAGUGGUGGGGGAUAACUGCGGGAAACUGCAGCUAAUACCGCAUGAGCCCGAGAGGGGAAAGAUUUAUCGCCAUUGGAGGGGCCCGCGUUCGAUUUAGGUAGUUGGUGAGGUAACGGCUCACCAAGCCUUCGAUCGAUAGCUGGUCUGAGAGGAUGAUCAGCCACACUGGGACUGAGAUACGGCCCAGACUCCUACGGGAGGCAGCAGUGGGGAAUAUUGGACAAUGGGGGGCAACCUGAUCCAGCAAUGCCG
This 354-nucleotide ribosomal RNA is filed under the name uncultured bacterium. RNAcentral's name for it is "bacterial SSU rRNA". It matches the Rfam family "Bacterial small subunit ribosomal RNA", at positions 29 to 399 of the family's 1533-position model. The record is from RNAcentral.